UUAAUCUACAAAAUCUUUCUACAAAUCAAAUUAAAAUAUUGGUGUAAAUUGACUAUAUUGUUGAGAUACUCUUUCUAAUUAAUUAGCAAAUCAAAUUUGAUCAUCUUUUGGAUUUGUAACCUAAAUUUUCUUCUGAAUUAAUUAGCAAUCACUUCAAACUUUCAAUUUUCAAUUUUACUGAAGCUUCCCCUGCCUUCUCAUUCAAUCUACCAAGAUCAAUUCACGGAGUUUUACAGUUGCUGCAAUAAAUUUGGGGGUGAAUGAACUAAAAAAGGAGUAGAGAUGGUGAUGUGUUAUCCUUCGACGCCUGGAAAGCUGGCAGUGACGAUGGGAUGUUUUCUUGGUGGUAUUUCUUUAUUUGUUGUUGGUAUACAUUAUUCCUACAAGAAUGUUGCUCCACAACAAGCUCGUACGAAAGCUCGAAGCGAUUUUGUUAGGGAGCAUCUUAGGAAGAAGCAUGGCUUUGGUGAGAAGAAAAAAUGAGGCAGAAUGCCUUUUGCUUGAUUUUCUAGCUCUGUUUUUUCCUAUAUAAACAUGAUGAUUAUGUUGAUGAAUGGUAGCUUUUCUUUUGAUGCAAGAAUCAAAAAUCAAUUUUUUGCCUUGUAAUCUUUGAUUGACUUUUGAGUGGAAGUUGCAUUCGAAUACAAUAUGUUAAUCACUAAGCUUUCAGAUUUACAUACUUUUAUGUUCACCGAUGGAUGAAAAGUGGUGUCAUGGAUGUUGUAGGGUUCUCACUAGUGACAUGGUUUGCAGUGUUGUUUUGGUGCUAUGAUUGUGGUAGGGACGGGAGAAGUGGGGAGAUUAGUGAUGCUGUUAUGAAAACAUGUAACUUGCCUUCUCAAAUUGGUGUGCUGAACUAAAUGGUUGUUACCUUGUUGGAAUUGAGUUUUCUGCAAUGAGCUGCACAAGCAAAGUUUCUGCUCUUUUGGGUUGAUCUCACAAGAUAUGUGGCUCACAGAUGAUUCAAAAGGGCUCAUUACUAAAAGGAAAUGCAUCAACAAUGAAAGAUUACUCUCUGCUGAAGUGUGUACAUUAUCUGCCAAAAAAUUUCCUACAUUUUUUAAGCUUGAGGAAUAUCUAAAUGGCAUUGGUCUUUGGGUCCAGCCAAGAGGUUAGGAUCAGUAAUAUCUUAUGCUCUUAAGGGGUUUAAGUGCUUACUUAAUGCAGUUGACAGAAUGGGCACAUAAAGUCGUGAAGGUCCAGUUUUUAUCUUCAUAGAAGCUUUAAGAUUGUUGAAAAAGCCAUUACUUUACACACUGGUUCAGCUUUGUUUCUUUCUUGUUAUAUUAGAAGAAAUAGAGGGCUAUGUAAUGGAAGAGGAAAUGAAGAAGAAAGCAUUGGGUAGUGCCCUUGUUUUUCUUUCCUGUAUAUUAGUUUAAGAAGUGGGAAUACAAUCGUUUAUAUUAUUUGAA
This is a long non-coding RNA of Chenopodium quinoa (quinoa), 1412 nucleotides long. RefSeq lists it as uncharacterized. The record is from RefSeq and is a predicted model, not a curated record. The transcript has 2 exons. Lineage: Eukaryota; Viridiplantae; Streptophyta; Magnoliopsida; Caryophyllales; Amaranthaceae.